CCGCGGUAAUACGAAGGGGGCUAGCGUUGCUCGGAAUUACUGGGCGUAAAGCGUGCGCAGGCGGUUCGGAAAGAAAGAUGUGAAAUCCCAGGGCUCAACCUUGGAACUGCAUUUUUAACUCCCGGACUAGAGUAUGUCAGAGGGGGGUGGAAUUCCACGUGUAGCAGUGAAAUGCGUAGAGAUGUGGAGGAACACCGAUGGCGAAGGCAGCCCCCUGGGAUAAUACUGACGCUCAGGCACGAAAGCGUGGGUAGCAAACAGG
Molecule: ribosomal RNA, 262 nt
Filed under: uncultured bacterium
Lineage: Bacteria
Description: partial 16S ribosomal RNA
Rfam family: Bacterial small subunit ribosomal RNA
Source: RNAcentral